UCGUGUGUAACUUGUCGGUGAUGUGCUCUAUUCCGUGUAUAUGUUGGAUAACCUUAACAUUUCUCAUCAACUUACAGUCUGAGGAAACGUGAAAGUCGAUACCGUCAGCGUCAGCUAUUUUGUUCAAACUCAUUGUAUUCUACUGAAUGUGUCAUCGAAAUUAUACAGGAUUCAUCUUAAUUAUCGGCUGUUUCUGUUGAACUUGCUAGAUCACCGACCCCAGCAUGGAACAAUCUCUCAUUCCAUCUUAUAGAGAAUCUUGGAUAACUGAUUGGUUUCUAAAUUGGCAUGACUGACUUUAAGAGAAGUUAU
Molecule: unclassified non-coding RNA, 312 nt
Filed under: Daphnia pulicaria
Lineage: Eukaryota; Metazoa; Arthropoda; Branchiopoda; Diplostraca; Daphniidae
Description: uncharacterized LOC124350171, transcript variant X4
Source: RNAcentral